AUAUCAUCCUGUUUUUGAGGCAAUAGUUAGUCUCUGAAAGGUCAGAGGAUAUUAUAGUGAAUUUUAAUAAGAAGUCGAUGUCACCGAUUUCAUGAAGUUCAUUUGAUAUCUUAUUUUGCUGACAGUUGAUUUGUCCAGGAUAGUGAUCACGUGUAGCGUGCAGCCCCCAACCAGUCUGAAUGUGACCUUAUGUAGCUCCGGGUUUCACCAUUGACGGUCACAAUUUCUGGCUUCAACAUAUACAUAAGUCCAUUCUUUAUAUCACACUCACCCCUAGCAGGUUAUAUUAUCUCUCAUUCUCAAGAUGCUAGAUUUUAGUUUGUUCCCAGCUCUCAGAUGUGAAGCUGGCCUGAGUUCAACAGACUCUACUGAGCUCCUGCCCAGGGCUGUGACGUUGCCUCCCGUGGGGCUCAUAUUGGUUGCCCCUCAUUGCUCUCUUUAGCCCCAUCACAAUUAUGUAGCUAAUAUCCACUGGAAGCUGGGUUUGAAGCAAACAAGAUUUGGCAUAUUUCAGUGUAUUUUUUCUUCAGAUUCUAAUAGAAGCAGGCUUCUCUAAGAAGUAGGAGGCUGCCUGCACCAGCAGCCAGGCAAAGACUUGGAGCUGCUUUUAUAUUAGGUGAAAGGGGUGAGGUUUUAUUUUACUCAGUUCUUAAUUAGUGCUGGGUGAGUUUUUCAAAGAUAUGCAUUAUCCAGAUGCAUGGCUCGCUCUCCGGCCUCUCUCCUGUUUUACUGCCCACCAAGAUUCAUAUCAAGGGGUGUCUGGAGCCAAAAGUGAUUCAAAGAAGUCAUUCUAACUUCUGGUGGGAAGUGAGGUGAGCAGUGUAGUUAAGAGAGCCAGUGUGAAUGAGAGCUGACACUUCUUACUCAUGUCAUUGUCUGAUGAGUGGAGUCGAAGAGUCUCUGCUUUCUGUAAAUUUUUAAUGGCCGCUCAUGUUUGGAUGAUAACUGAAAUAUUAUCCAGUGAAAUCACUGCUCUGAUCCUUCCACUGCCUUUGUGGAAUCUGUGUCAAGGGACUGUCUUGGUUUUCACACUGCAGAUCUCACUUUCUCCCAGGCUGGCUGGCCCAUGCGCUCUUUGGUUGUUCUGUUGGGCUGUGCUGUGGUGAUCUUGAUUCCUGUACUUCCAUUUGCUGGUCCUCCUUUUUCCUCUUGGGGUCACACGGAACAGAACCUAAUUCCGACACUUGGCAGCCUUUCACAUCUUUGAAAGAUGUCCCUCUGUAUGCACCCACUUAUGUAUGACAUGAUUUGGUCCCUGUUGCGUCCCUACCUAACUACUGCACUUGGGUGACUAUAGCAUGUGGGUCUCUCAAACCUCUAGUAAUAGGUCAAGUCUCCAAGCUGUCUGAGGCUAAGCUACCUCCUGUCAAAUAGUUGCCUCAUGUGGAUUCAGCUGCACUUGGUUUACUUCAAAAUAAUAUUCCUUAAACAGGUAUUUUUUGAGUAUUUACCAUGUGUCAGCACUGGGGGUACACUGGGUAUAGUGGAGAGCAAAAUAACCGGAUUUCUGUCCUCAAUAUAGUGAGAGGUUAGACCAAAUAUCCAUUACGUAUGUGUCUGUGUCUGUGUAAUGUAUCAUUGCAAAUUGUAAAGGUUGAGUGCUGCUUAUUGUCUGGUGACCCAAAUCAGGUACAGCUGCGAACAAGCUCCCUAGCCAGAUGGGGCCACUGGCUCAGCCCUGAAGAUGGGCAGGGCCACUGGCUGGGAUGACUGUGCGGGUACCUCUGUGAGCAGGAAUGUGAUCUUGGGAGCCUGGUUGUUGUUGGUGUCGCCCCCUUCUCUGUCUCUAUUUGAUCUCUAGCUGUUGAGCCUUACAGAUUAUCUGAAUGAUCCCCCAUAAGAUGAGACCCAAUUGGGCCUCCCAAGAUGUGUCUGCCAAUGCUGCGGGAGCUGGAUGUCCACCUUGGGCUCUCAUUAUCCCCCUGAAGAAACUGCAGGCCCAGGGAGCCCUCUGGGUGAGGUGCUGUGCCGCCUGGGGGAGGGGCGAUGAGGUCCGAGUGUAACUGCUCCUCCUGCCCUUCUAAUGUGGUUCUUCUUGGUCCAGGAGGGUGCUUCAGCCUCAUCCCUGGGUUCUGAGAUUUUCAUAAUGCUGUCUUGUCUACGGUUAGUUGCUAGUCGGUCUUUUUGUGAGGGGGACUGAAGUUGGGAACAACCCAUGUCUCCUUCUUUUUUGUUUUGCUUUUUUUUAGGGCUGCAUGUGUGGCAUAUGGAGGUUCCCAGACCAGGGGUCUAAUCAGAGCUGCAGCUGCCAGCCUUUGCCACAGCCACUGCAAUGUGGGAUCAGCCAAGUCUGUGACCUACACCAUAGCUCAUGGUAAUGCCAGAUCCUUAACCACUGAGUGGGGGGCCAGGGACCGAACCCGUGCCUCCAUGGAUACUAGUCGAGUUUGUCAUCACAGAGCUACAACGGGAACAACUUGUGUCUCCUUCUUGAUGACAUUACUGUUUUUUUUUGGUGUGUGUUUUGUGGGAUAGACCUGAACUGAUUUAAGUGCUGAGAGACAGGUUGAGGAGAAGAUACUGAAGAGCAGAAGGAGUACUGGGAUACAGAGCACAGGGAUUAGCCUGAAAGAGAAGCAGAAAUAGCUGUACCCCGUAAUGCGAGGGCUGGAAGAGAGAACUGGUGCUGACAGUGAAGUGUAUAGGCUUGGUGAAGAGAAGUGGGAAAGUCUUCUACUUUGUAAUGAUUUAUCUGCUUAGAGUGAAUGGGGGGUGGAAGGAUUGGAGGCUUGAGUUAAGUAGUGCACAGGCCAUUAAGAAGAGAGAACUGACUAUAGGAAAACACGGAAGUUAACUCAGUGCUCAGUUAAAGGUGGAAUCUCAUGAAUUUAUAGUGGCAACAAUCUGUGCGUUUGGGUGAUUCUCCCCAGAAGUGCUUCACUGCCCAUGUAUAUGCACGUUUUUAAAAAUUAUUUUUUGUUAUUUUGUUGAGAUGUAACUCACAUAUUAAAAAAGUCUCCACUUUAUAGUAUAUAAUGCAGUGACUUUUAGCAUAGUCACAUUUUUAUUAUCCCAGAAAGAAACUGUGUACCCCUUUAGCCAUCACUUCUCUUUCUCUCCUCCCCCUUGCCUUGGAAAUACUAAUCUUCCUAUGUCUUUGGAUAUAUCUAUUAUGGACUUUUCAUUUAAAUGGAGUCAUAAAGUAAGUGGCCCUUGGCAUCUGGUAUCUGGUAUUUUGCUUAGCAUAAUGUUUUCAAGGUUUGUCCACUUUGCAGCAUGCAUCAGUACAUCAUUCCUUUUCAUGGCUGUAUCACAUUCCAUUGAAUGGAUAUACCACAGUUUAUCCAUUCAUCAGUUAAUGGACAUUUGGUUUAUUCUUACUUUUUGCCAUCCUAGUGGGUGUGAAGUGAUAUUUCCUUUCAAGUGAGCACUUGGCUUUUUCUAGAAGACUCAGUGGUGGAAAAAAAAGUUGUAUGUUUGAGAAUGAAGACAAAUGGAUGAUUGAAGUGAUGGGUCAUGCAGUGAAAUACAGAAAUGUGCAGGACCCAUGGGAGGGAUACCAUAACUUCACCCCUCACUACACUAAAGGGUGUAAAGGAGGCCUUAUAUUAACAAAGGGCUCAGUAUUGAUCUCAGAAAUAUUACAUGUAAGUGAAAUGUAACUCCAGCAAAAUUGCCAAUGAACACUUUUUGCUAAAAUAGUUACAAAUUUCAACUGGAACUAUAAAUGCAUAUGAAUGCCUGGGAUGUAUUUGGAGGAAAAAAAUAUAUUUGAAGAAAAAAAAGAACAAAAAUGAUGAGAACAUAUAUACCAGAUACUAAAACAUAUUGUAAAGUUAGUGAGCAGUGUGGUCUUAGCAUUCGAAAAAGCCAAUGGAUAGGUGGAAAAGAAGAGAAGAGCCAAGUUCACAUGGGAAUUUAUUGUAAGACAAAGAUGACAUUGUAUCAUCAGAAGUGAAAGGAUGGUUAAUUUUAUAAAUGGUGUUGGGGUGACUAUAUUAAAAAAGUAAUGUCCCCAUCUCACACAGCAUAGCAAAAUAAAUUAGUGCUAGAGUAAAUAUGUAUGAGGAUCCCUGUGUCCACAGAACAUUAGAAGGGAGACUUAGGCAGUUGUGGGGGGUUAGAUUUUGUGGAAUGGUAGGGAGAGCAGAGAUACAAGGAAGAAGGUCAUGUCAGGAUGCACAGGAAAGAGGGCUAUGUGAGGAUACACAGAGAAGGUGGACCAGGCAGAGACACACUGAAGGGAGGCCAGUGGAGAAGGUCACGAAGACGUGAAGGUGGAGAUUGGUGUGAUGCAGCUGUAAACUGGGGAACACCAAGAAUUGCUGGAGGCCACCAGAAACUAGGAAACUGCAAAGGAAGGAUUCUUUCCUACAGUUUUCAGGGAGAGAAUGGCCCUGCUGAUACCUUGAUUUUGGGUUUCUGUUCUCCAGAACUGUGAGAGAAUAAAUUCCUGUGUUUAAACCACCACACGAUGGUAGUUUGUUACCACAGUCCUAGGAAAUGAGUGCAGUGACUAAUCAGAUUUGAUUUGAUGGAAGGAGUAAUCUGAAACAUUACUGAAUUUUCCCGAAGAUUAAUACCAGAAGCUGUGUUUGAUUAUUCAGUUUUUGGGUAGACAGAACUUCAAUUUCAUGGUUAAGGAGGCCUCACAGAUCUGCAUGAUGAAUUUGAAGAGUCUGGACUCGUCCCAGAGAGGCAGGAACUUUGUCUUAGUCACUGCUGUUUCCCCAGCAUUUAUAACAGUUAGAACAGAACAUACCUGAAACUCAAUGACUCUUUAAUUAAUGAGCUAAUAAGUAGAAAACAUGCAAAAAUACCAAGUUAUCAAUUUUUAUAACAAUGAAGACACUG
RNAcentral lists this long non-coding RNA (4794 nucleotides) under Sus scrofa (pig). RNAcentral describes it as "lncRNA (ENSSSCG00025045249.1)". Lineage: Eukaryota; Metazoa; Chordata; Mammalia; Artiodactyla; Suidae. The record is from RNAcentral.